Non-coding RNA from Bos taurus (domestic cattle), 73 nucleotides. NCBI's taxonomy places the organism in Eukaryota, Metazoa, Chordata, Mammalia, Artiodactyla, Bovidae. The record is from Rfam.
UCCCUGGUAGUCCAGUGGCUAAUACUCUGGGCUCCCAAUACAGGGGGCCUGGGUUCAAUCCCUGGUCAGGGAA